AUCGCUUCUCGGCCUUUUGGCUCAGAUCAAGUGUAGUUUCUGUUCUUAUCAGUUUAAUAUCUGAUAGUCCCUUACAUGGGGACCACAUAUUAAAUUGAUUUUUGGGACAGGGAGCUGGAUUAGGGGCUUGCUCCGUCCACUCCAAGCAUCAACCUGGUAUUGCAGUACAUCUGGGAAUGGUGCAUCCACU
This is a small nuclear RNA of Xiphophorus hellerii (green swordtail), 190 nucleotides long. RefSeq annotates it as U2 spliceosomal RNA. Lineage: Eukaryota; Metazoa; Chordata; Actinopteri; Cyprinodontiformes; Poeciliidae. The record is from RefSeq and is a predicted model, not a curated record. The transcript has a single exon.